UGGUUCUGGCAUCGAUGAAGAACGCAGCGAAAUGCGAUAAGUAAUGUGAAUUGCAGAAUUCAGUGAAUCAUCGAAUCUUUGAACGCACAUUGCGCCCGCUAGUAUUCUGGCGGGCAUGCCUGUUCGAGCGUCAUUACAUCCCUCAAGCCCCCGGGCUUGGUGUUGGAGAUCGGCGAGCCCCCGCGCCCGCCGUCCCCUAAAUUUAGUGGCGGUCACGCUGUAACUUCCUCUGCGUAGUAGCACACUUAGCACUGGGAAACAGCGCGGCCACGCCGUAAAACCCCCAACUUUUAUACGUUUGACCUCGAAUCAGGUAGGACUACCCGCUGA
This 330-nucleotide unclassified non-coding RNA is filed under the name uncultured fungus. Its description in RNAcentral is "partial contains 5.8S ribosomal RNA and internal transcribed spacer 2". The stretch from base 1 to 133 matches the Rfam family "5.8S ribosomal RNA", at positions 22 to 154 of the family's 154-position model. The record is from RNAcentral. Lineage: Eukaryota; Fungi.